UCUUUUCCUUUUUUUCCAGCCGCCGCGGUAAAACGUAGGUCACAAGCGUUGUCCGGAAUUACUGGGUGUAAAGGGAGCGCAGGCGGGAGAACAAGUUGGAAGUGAAAUCCAUGGGCUCAACCCAUGAACUGCUUUCAAAACUGUUUUUCUUGAGUAGUGCAGAGGUAGGCGGAAUUCCCGGUGUAGCGGUGGAAUGCGUAGAUAUCGGGAGGAACACCAGUGGCGAAGGCGGCCUACUGGGCACCAACUGACGCUGAGGCUCGAAAGUGUGGGUAGCAAACAGG
Molecule: ribosomal RNA, 284 nt
Filed under: Faecalibacterium prausnitzii
Lineage: Bacteria; Bacillati; Bacillota; Clostridia; Eubacteriales; Oscillospiraceae
Description: partial 16S ribosomal RNA
Rfam family: Bacterial small subunit ribosomal RNA
Source: RNAcentral